AACUAUAUUAUUGUUAUUAAAUAAAAAACAAAAACAAAAUAUCACUUAUUGUCAAAAUAUUAAGAUUCUGGCGACUCUAUUAAUCUUUAUAUCUUUUUGUAUGACUGUAGUUGCAGCGCAUCACUAGCAUACAUUACUAGAACGACUAGAACAACAACAGCGCUGUGAAACGUCCCGACAUUCAGUCUGCCGGCAUCAUUCGUCGAUGUUUCUACUACUCGUUUCCCGCCGUGUGACUAAUGUGUGAUUGUGUACAUAUAUGUGUGUAUGCGUCUGUGUAUUAAAUUACAGAUUAACAAAUCAAUAAUGAUUUUUCAUUGCAAUAUCAACAAUAUCAAUUUUUAUGUUAUAUUUAAUCAAGGACACUGUUUAUAAUUCAAUAGUAUCAAGGUCGCGCAAAAAUAUUUUAAUAAAUUUAACAAAAAAUUAAAAUAUUUAUUACAACAAAAAUGAUAUAUAUUAAGAGAAAAAGAGAGAGAGAUUUUAAAAAAGGGAAUAUAUGUAAUAUUUAUUUAUUUAUUUUCUUUUGGUUCUGUAUAAAUAAAAUGAAUUUUA
Molecule: long non-coding RNA, 555 nt
Organism: Microplitis mediator
Lineage: Eukaryota; Metazoa; Arthropoda; Insecta; Hymenoptera; Braconidae
Exons: 3
Source: RefSeq, a predicted model, not a curated record